CGGUUGCCGCCGGCUCAUAGUGCAAGUCGAGCGGACAGAUAAGGAGCUUGCUCCUUUGACGUUAGCGGCGGACGGGUGAGUAACACGUGGAUAACCUACCUAUAAGACUGGGAUAACUUCGGGAAACCGGAGCUAAUACCGGAUAACAUAUUGAACCGCAUGGUUCAAUAGUGAAAGGCGGCUUUGCUGUCACUUAUAGAUGGAUCCGCGCCGUAUUAGCUAGUUGGUAAGGUAACGGCUUACCAAGGCAACGAUACGUAGCCGACCUGAGAGGGUGAUCGGCCACACUGGAACUGAGACACGGUCCAGACUCCUACGGGAGGCAGCAGUAGGGAAUCUUCCGCAAUGGGCGAAAGCCUGACGGAGCAACGCCGCGUGAGUGAUGAAGGUCUUCGGAUCGUAAAACUCUGUUAUCAGGGAAGAACAAAUGUGUAAGUAACUGUGCACAUCUUGACGGUACCUGAUCAGAAAGCCACGGCUAACUACGUGCCAGCAGCCGCGGUAAUACGUAGGUGGCAAGCGUUAUCCGGAAUUAUUGGGCGUAAAGCGCGCGUAGGCGGUUUUUUAAGUCUGAUGUGAAAGCCCACGGCUCAACCGUGGAGGGUCAUUGGAAACUGGAAAACUUGAGUGCAGAAGAGGAAAGUGGAAUUCCAUGUGUAGCGGUGAAAUGCGCAGAGAUAUGGAGGAACACCAGUGGCGAAGGCGACUUUCUGGUCUGUAACUGACGCUGAUGUGCGAAAGCGUGGGGAUCAAACAGGAUUAGAUACCCUGGUAGUCCACGCCGUAAACGAUGAGUGCUAAGUGUUAGGGGGUUUCCGCCCCUUAGUGCUGCAGCUAACGCAUUAAGCACUCCGCCUGGGGAGUACGACCGCAAGGUUGAAACUCAAAGGAAUUGACGGGGACCCGCACAAGCGGUGGAGCAUGUGUUUUAUUUCGAAGCAACGCGAAAACCUUACCAAUCUUGACAUCCUUUGACCGCUCUAGAGAUAGAGUCUUCACCUUCAGGGGACAAAGUGACAGGUGAUGCAUGUUGCCGUCUGCUCGUGUCAUGAGAAGCUGGAUACGCGCGCACAUCACAGCCGUAGCAUACUGCAAGUCAUGAGAGUG
This 1107-nucleotide ribosomal RNA is filed under the name Staphylococcus pasteuri. RNAcentral describes it as "bacterial SSU rRNA". It matches the Rfam family "Bacterial small subunit ribosomal RNA", at positions 34 to 1132 of the family's 1533-position model. The record is from RNAcentral. Lineage: Bacteria; Bacillati; Bacillota; Bacilli; Caryophanales; Staphylococcaceae.